UAGCUCAGUGGUAGAGCGUUUGCCUUGCAUGCAGGAGGCCCUGGGUUCGAUUCCUCAG
RNAcentral lists this transfer RNA (58 nucleotides) under Dipodomys ordii (Ord's kangaroo rat). It matches the Rfam family "tRNA", at positions 8 to 63 of the family's 71-position model. From Rfam's summary of the family: Transfer RNA (tRNA) molecules are approximately 80 nucleotides in length. Their secondary structure includes four short double-helical elements and three loops (D, anti-codon, and T loops). The record is from Rfam by way of RNAcentral. Lineage: Eukaryota; Metazoa; Chordata; Mammalia; Rodentia; Heteromyidae.